UCGCUGUGUGUUAUACGUGUCACACGGGACUGCCGGUUUUAAGCCGGAGGAAGUGGGAUGACGUCAAGUCAGCAUGGCCUUUAUAUCCCUGGGCUACACACACGCUACAAUGGCCAACACAAUAGGUUGCUAAGCCGCGAGGUGGCGCCAAAUCCAUAAAGUUGGUCUCAGUUCAGAUUGUAGGCUGCAACCCGCCUGCAUGAAGAUGGAGUUGCUAGUAACCGCAGGUCAGCUAUACUGCGGUGAAUACGUUCCCGGGGCUU
This 263-nucleotide ribosomal RNA is filed under the name uncultured Leptolinea sp. RNAcentral describes it as "partial 16S ribosomal RNA". It matches the Rfam family "Bacterial small subunit ribosomal RNA", at positions 1105 to 1382 of the family's 1533-position model. The record is from RNAcentral. Lineage: Bacteria; Bacillati; Chloroflexota; Anaerolineae; Anaerolineales; Anaerolineaceae.